UACGUAGGUGGCAAGCGUUGUCCGGAAUUAUUGGGCGUAAAGGGCGCGUAGGCGGCUUUUCAAGUGGCGGGUGAAAUCCCUCGGCUUAACCGAGGAACUGCCUGCCAGACUGGAUGGCUUGAGACCGGGAGAGGUGAGUGGAAUUCCCAGUGUAGCGGUGAAAUGCGUAGAUAUUGGGAGGAACACCAAUUGCGAAGGCAGCUCGCUGGGACGUCACUGACGCUGAGACGCGAAAGCGUGGGGAGCAAACAGG
Molecule: ribosomal RNA, 253 nt
Filed under: uncultured bacterium
Lineage: Bacteria
Description: partial 16S ribosomal RNA
Rfam family: Bacterial small subunit ribosomal RNA
Source: RNAcentral